This 851-nucleotide ribosomal RNA is filed under the name uncultured beta proteobacterium. RNAcentral's name for it is "bacterial SSU rRNA". It matches the Rfam family "Bacterial small subunit ribosomal RNA", at positions 38 to 892 of the family's 1533-position model. Lineage: Bacteria; Pseudomonadati; Pseudomonadota; Betaproteobacteria. The record is from RNAcentral.
CCCUGAUAGCACAUACAUGCAGUCGACGGUAGAGGGGGCAACCCCUUGAGAGUGGCGAACGGGUGAGUAAUGUAUCGGAACGUGCCCAGUCGUGGGGGAUAACGUAGUGAAAAUUACGCUAAUACCGCAUACGAUCUAUGGAUGAAAGCGGGGGAUCGCAAGACCUCGCGCGAUUGGAGCGGCCGAUAUCAGAUUAGGUAGUUGGUGGGGUAAAGGCUCACCAAGCCAACGAUCUGUAGCUGGUCUGAGAGGACGACCAGCCACACUGGAACUGAGACACGGUCCAGACUCCUACGGGAGGCAGCAGUGGGGAAUUUUGGACAAUGGACGCAAGUCUGAUCCAGCCAUUCCGCGUGCAGGACGAAGGCCUUCGGGUUGUAAACUGCUUUUGUACGGAACGAAAAAGCUCUUAUUAAUAUUAGGAGUCCAUGACGGUACCGUAAGAAUAAGCACCGGCUAACUACGUGCCAGCAGCCGCGGUAAUACGUAGGGUGCAAGCGUUAAUCGGAAUUACUGGGCGUAAAGCGUGCGCAGGCGGUUAUAUAAGACAGAUGUGAAAUCCCCGAGCUUAACUUGGGAACUGCAUUUGUGACUGUAUAGCUAGAGUACGGCAGAGGGGGAUGGAAUUCCGCGUGUAGCAGUGAAAUGCGUAGAUAUGCGGAGGAACACCGAUGGCGAAGGCAAUCCCCUGGGCCUGUACUGACGCUCAUGCACGAAAGCGUGGGGAGCAAACAGGAUUAGAUACCCUGGUAGUCCACGCCCUAAACGAUGUCAACUGGUUGUUGGGUCUUCACUGACUCAGUAACGAAGCUAACGCGUGAAGUUGACCGCCUGGGGAGUACGGCCCGCAG